Non-coding RNA from Electrophorus electricus (electric eel), 778 nucleotides. NCBI's taxonomy places the organism in Eukaryota, Metazoa, Chordata, Actinopteri, Gymnotiformes, Gymnotidae. The record is from RefSeq and is a predicted model, not a curated record.
CUUCACACAAUGUAGAAAAUCUUUAAUUUGUAGUCAAUUUAUCAAGUGUGGAAUAUUACUUGCCAGUUGCUAAAAGGUAAGAAAAAUCAAAACAACUUUUUUUAUGCUGUAAAUAUGCUGGAUAUGGUAUUGUGUUUCUAUUUGAUAUGUGUUUAGUUAUUUUUUAUAUUAUUUUUCUAUUAGAUGAUCCAGUGUAUUUGAUCCAUUUGUUUCACAGAGUUAAUGAGCGAGUUAUGGAACUGCCAUGCAGUGCACCACUUGUUUAAAUUCAGCUGUUGUGUGCAGUGUGGUUUCUCUUUGACGUGUUUAUACCCACAAGUGGCACGCGUGUCCUAGGUGAAGUUAUUCAGCAGAUGACAGAGGGAAGGUUUUUAAAGAAUCACACAAAGAAUUAUUAAAGGAAUUGAGGUUGUCAUGUUUUGAGUUCCUCUGAGGUCACAGUAUUUUGAGUUCACGGACCCACAGUGCCACCCAGUGACUGUAGCGAGAUUUGUCAUAUAAUCUAACUGAACUGUGUGUUCAUAGCAGCAGGUUCAUUGUAUGCAGUUAUUAAUUAAUAAGUUGUGACAUUCUGAGCCUAAAGAAAAUGAGAAAUAGUGUCUUAGACAUGGACAUGCACAAGUGAAUUUGUGUGGUAAUAACGUUCUACUUAAGUGUGAAAAUCUAUGAAAAUCUGGCCUAUCUGGCUUUAUGUAUUAAGUUAUUAUAUGGAAUGUGUAACUGUUUUCCUUUGUGUUUUUAUAUUUGUAAUCAGCUAAAAUAAAAUGACUGGAAGAAA